Molecule: ribosomal RNA, 484 nt
Filed under: uncultured bacterium
Lineage: Bacteria
Description: partial 16S ribosomal RNA
Rfam family: Bacterial small subunit ribosomal RNA
Source: RNAcentral
AUUGAACGCUGGCGGCAGGCCUAACACAUGCAAGUCGAGCGGAUGAAGGGAGCUUGCUCCUGGAUUCAGCGGCGGACGGGUGAGUAAUGCCUAGGAAUCUGCCUGGUAGUGGGGGAUAACGUCCGGAAACGGGCGCUAAUACCGCAUACGUCCUGAGGGAGAAAGUGGGGGAUCUUCGGACCUCACGCUAUUAGAUGAGCCUAGGUCGGAUUAGCUAGUUGGUGGGGUAAAGGCCUACCAAGGCGACGAUCCGUAACUGGUCUGAGAGGAUGAUCAGUCACACUGGAACUGGGACACGGUCCAGACUCCUACGGGAGGCAGCAGUGGGGAAUAUUGGACAAUGGGCGAAAGCCUGAUCCAGCCAUGCCGCGUGUGUGAAGAAGGUCUUCGGAUUGUAAAGCACUUUAAGUUGGGAGGAAGGGCAGUAAGUUAAUACCUUGCUGUUUUGACGUUACCAACAGAAUAAGCACCGGCUAACUUCGUG